RNAcentral lists this ribosomal RNA (684 nucleotides) under uncultured Bacteroidales bacterium. RNAcentral describes it as "bacterial SSU rRNA". It matches the Rfam family "Bacterial small subunit ribosomal RNA", at positions 62 to 735 of the family's 1533-position model. Lineage: Bacteria; Pseudomonadati; Bacteroidota; Bacteroidia; Bacteroidales. The record is from RNAcentral.
UCGAGGGGCAGCAUGGUCUUAGCUUGCUAAGGCCGAUGGCGACCGGCGCACGGGUGAGUAACACGUAUCCAACCUGCCGUCUACUCUUGGACAGCCUUCUGAAAGGAAGAUUAAUACAAGAUGGCAUCAUGAGUUCACAUGUUCACAUGAUUAAAGGUAUUCCGGUAGACGAUGGGGAUGCGUUCCAUUAGAUAGUAGGCGGGGUAACGGCCCACCUAGUCUUCGAUGGAUAGGGGUUCUGAGAGGAAGGUCCCCCACAUUGGAACUGAGACACGGUCCAAACUCCUACGGGAGGCAGCAGUGAGGAAUAUUGGUCAAUGGGCGAGAGCCUGAGCCAGCCAAGUAGCGUGAAGGAUGACUGCCCUAUGGGUUGUAAACUUCUUUUAUAAAGGAAUAAAGUCGGGUAUGCAUACCCGUUUGCAUGUACUUUAUGAAUAAGGAUCGGCUAACUCCGUGCCAGCAGCCGCGGUAAUACGGAGGAUCCGAGCGUUAUCCGGAUUUAUUGGGUUUAAAGGGAGCGUAGAUGGAUGUUUAAGUCAGUUGUGAAAGUUUGCGGCUCAACCGUAAAAUUGCAGUUGAUACUGGAUAUCUUGAGUGCAGUUGAGGCAGGCGGAAUUCGUGGUGUAGCGGUGAAAUGCUUAGAUAUCACGAAGAACUCCGAUUGCGAAGGCAGCCUGCUAAGCU